Molecule: ribosomal RNA, 263 nt
Filed under: uncultured bacterium
Lineage: Bacteria
Description: partial 16S ribosomal RNA
Rfam family: Bacterial small subunit ribosomal RNA
Source: RNAcentral
CCGGCGCACGGGUGAGUAACACGUAUGCAACCUGGCCGUCACAGGUGGAUAACCGGAAGAAAUUCCGACUAAUACAGCAUAACACUCCUGAGGGACAUCCCUUGGGAGUCAAAGGAGGCAACUCCGGUGACGGAUGGGCAUGCGGCGCAUUAGGUAGUUGGUAGGGUAACGGCCUACCAAGCCGACGAUGCGUAGGGGUUCUGAGAGGAAGGUCCCCCACAUUGGAACUGAGACACGGUCCAGACUCCUACGGGAGGCAGCAG